CGGCUACCACAUCUAAGGAAGGCAGCAGGCGCGCAAAUUACCCACUCUCAGAACGAGGAGGUAGUGAAUUUAAAUAGCGAUGAUGAACUCUUAUGAGGCUCGUCAAUCGAAAUGAGUACAACUUAAAUCCUUUAACGAGUACCAAUUGGAGGCAAGUCUGGUGCCAGCAGCCGCGGUAAUUCCAGCUCCAAUAGCGAAUAUUAAAUUUGUUGCAGUUAAAAAGCUCGUAGUUGGAUCCAAGGUUAGGCAUGCCUGUCUGUUCUUAGUAGCAUGACUGUGUGUGUCUGCCUUUAUUAGUUGAAUGUUCAUUAUGGUGGUCUUCAUCGACUGCUAUGAUGUGCUCAACACGUUUACCUUGAAAAAAUCAGAGCGAUCAAGGCAGGCCUUCGUGCUUGUAUGUUGUUACAAGGAAUAAUAGAAUAGGACUUCGGUUCUAUUUUGUUGGUUUUGAGAAUUGAAGUAAUGAACAAUAGAGACAGUCGGGGGCAUUUGUAUGGUGGCGUUAGAGGUGAAAUUCUGAGAUCGUCGCCAGACAAACUACUGCGAAAGCAUUUGCCAAGGAUGUCUUCAUUAAUCAAGAACGAAAGUCAGAGGUUCGAAGACGAUCAGAUACCGUCCUAGUUCUGACCAUAAACGAUGCCGACCUACAAUCGGGGGUGGUUUAUUAUAUUGACCCUCCCGGCUUCCUCAGGAAACUUUAAGUUGGUUCUGGGGGGAAUAUGGUCUCAAGACUGAAACUUAAAGGAAUUGACGGAAGGGCACCACCAGGAGUGGAGCCUGCGGCUUAAUUUGACCCAACACGGGGAAUCUCACCCGGUCCGGACACUGGUAGGAUGGACAGAUUGAUAGCUCUUUCUUGAUUCAGUGGGUGGUGGUGCAUGGCCGUUCUUAGUUGGUGGAGUGAUUUGUCUGGUUAAUUCCGAUAACGAACGAGACUCUGUCCUGCUAAAUAGUCCAGUGGCAUCAAUCACUAUGUGAUUACAGCUGCUGUUACUUCUUAGAGGGAUUCGCGGAUUUAAACCGCAAGAAAUAGAGCAAUAACAGGUCUGUGAUGCCCUUAGAUGUCCGGGGCCGCACGCGCGCUACAUUGACAGUAGAAGCGAGUAUUUCUACCUGGUUCGAAAGAAUUGGGAAAUCUUCGAAUUACUGUCUCCACAGGGAUUGAGGUUUGCUAUUUUGCCUCAUGAACGAGGAAUUCCCAGUAGGCGCAAGUCAUCAGCUUGCGUCGAUUACGUCCCUGCCCUUUGUACACACCGCCCGUCGCUACUACCGAUUGAGUGCAUUAGUGAGGACCUCGGAUUGAGAACAUAGUGGCGCAAGUUACUUUGUUUUCGAAAAGUGGUUCAAAUUUGUGCAUUUAGAGAUAGUAAAAGUCGUAACAAGGUU
This 1386-nucleotide ribosomal RNA is filed under the name metagenome. Its description in RNAcentral is "SSU rRNA". It matches the Rfam family "Eukaryotic small subunit ribosomal RNA", at positions 404 to 1801 of the family's 1831-position model. The record is from RNAcentral.